UGAAUACUGAGACGAUCGGUUUGUGGU
RNAcentral lists this small RNA (27 nucleotides) under Bombyx mori (domestic silkworm). RNAcentral's name for it is "ovarian small RNA-7981". Lineage: Eukaryota; Metazoa; Arthropoda; Insecta; Lepidoptera; Bombycidae. The record is from RNAcentral.